GGGGAAUAUUGCACAAUGGGCGAAAGCCUGAUGCAGCAACGCCGCGUGAGCGAUGAAGGCCUUUGGGUCGUAAAGCUCUGUCCUUGGGGAAGAAAAAAAUGACGGUACCCUUGGAGGAAGCCCCGGCUAACUACGUGCCAGCAGCCGCGGUAAUACGUAGGGGGCAAGCGUUAUCCGGAAUUAUUGGGCGUAAAGAGUGCGUAGGUGGUUUUGUAAGCGCGGGGUGAAAGGCUAUGGCUCAACCAUAGUAAGCCUUGCGAACUGUAAGACUUGAGUGCAGGAGAGGAAAGUGGAAUUCCCAGUGUAGCGGUGAAAUGCGUAGAUAUUGGGAGGAACACCAGUGGCGAAGGCGACUUUCUGGACUACAACUGACGCUGAGGCACGAAAGCGUGGGGAGCAAACA
This 403-nucleotide ribosomal RNA is filed under the name uncultured Eubacteriales bacterium. Its description in RNAcentral is "bacterial SSU rRNA". It matches the Rfam family "Bacterial small subunit ribosomal RNA", at positions 356 to 774 of the family's 1533-position model. Lineage: Bacteria; Bacillati; Bacillota; Clostridia; Eubacteriales. The record is from RNAcentral.